Molecule: ribosomal RNA, 253 nt
Filed under: uncultured bacterium
Lineage: Bacteria
Description: partial 16S ribosomal RNA
Rfam family: Bacterial small subunit ribosomal RNA
Source: RNAcentral
UACGGGGGGGGCAAGCGUUGUUCGGAAUUACUGGGCGUAAAGGGCUCGUAGGUGGCCAACUAAGUCAGACGUGAAAUCCCUCGGCUUAACCGGGGAACUGCGUCUGAUACUGGAUGGCUUGAGGUUGGGAGAGGGAUGCGGAAUUCCAGGUGUAGCGGUGAAAUGCGUAGAUAUCUGGAGGAACACCGGUGGCGAAGGCGGCAUCCUGGACCAAUCCUGACGCUGAGGAGCGAAAGCCAGGGGAGCAAACGGG